RNAcentral lists this ribosomal RNA (496 nucleotides) under uncultured bacterium. RNAcentral's name for it is "partial 16S ribosomal RNA". It matches the Rfam family "Bacterial small subunit ribosomal RNA", at positions 30 to 523 of the family's 1533-position model. The record is from RNAcentral.
AUUGAACGCUGGCGGAAUGCUUUACACAUGCAAGUCGAACGGUAGAGGGGGCAACCCCUCGAGAGUGGCGAACGGGUGAGUAAUAUAUCGGAACGUGCCCAGUCGUGGGGGAUAACGUAGCGAAAGUUACGCUAAUACCGCAUACGAUCUAAGGAUGAAAGCGGGGGAUCGCAAGACCUCGCGCGAUUUGAGAGGCCGAUAUCAGAUUAGGUAGUUGGUGGGGUAAAGGCUCACCAAGCCAACGAUCUGUAGCUGGUCUGAGAGGACGGCAAGCCACACUGGAACUGAGACACGGUCCAGACUCCUACGGGAGGCAGCAGUGGGGAAUUUUGGACAAUGGGCGCAAGCCUGAUCCAGCCAUUCCGCGUACAGGACGAAGGCCUUCGGGUUGUAAACUGCUUUUGUACGGAACGAAAAGGCUCUGGUUAAUACCUGGGGCUCAUGACGGUACCGUAAGAAUAAGCACCGGCUAACUACGUGCCAGCAGCCGCAGUAA